AUGGAAGACGCCAUCAUGGCAAACCAACAGCCCACGGUGGCCAUGAAGGGAACGCAUCAUGGUGGCCAACCAACACCCCAUGGUGGCCACGUAUGGAAGCCAUCACUUUGGCCAAACCACUGCCCCCAACCCGACCACCACCCCGGUAGCAAACCAACACCCCAAGGUUGCCACCAAUGGAAGAUGCCAUCAUGGCCAACCAGUGACCCCAUGGUGCCACCAAUGAAAGACGCCAUCAUGGCCAACUGACAACCCCAAGGUUGCCAUGAAAGGAACGUAUCAUGGUGGCCAACCAAUGACACAAGGUGGCCACCAAUGGAAGAGGUCA
RNAcentral lists this long non-coding RNA (328 nucleotides) under Numida meleagris (helmeted guineafowl). RNAcentral describes it as "lncRNA (ENSNMEG00000001976.1)". The record is from RNAcentral. Lineage: Eukaryota; Metazoa; Chordata; Aves; Galliformes; Numididae.